This 460-nucleotide ribosomal RNA is filed under the name uncultured bacterium. RNAcentral describes it as "partial 16S ribosomal RNA". It matches the Rfam family "Bacterial small subunit ribosomal RNA", at positions 338 to 795 of the family's 1533-position model. The record is from RNAcentral.
CCUACGGGUGGCUGCAGGGAGGAAUAUUGGUCAAUGGACGGAAGUCUGAACCAGCCAUGCCGCGUGCAGGAAGACGGCUCUAUGAGUUGUAAACUGCUUUUGUACAAGGGUAAACCUGAAUACGUGUAUUCAGCUGAAAGUACUGUACGAAUAAGGAUCGGCUAACUCCGUGCCAGCAGCCGCGGUAAUACGGAGGAUCCAAGCGUUAUCCGGAUUUAUUGGGUUUAAAGGGUGCGUAGGCGGUCUGAUAAGUUAGAGGUGAAAUUCUCGGGCUUAACUCGGGAACUGCCUCUAAUACUGUUGAUCGAGAGAGUAGUUGCGGUAGGCGGAAUGUAUGGUGUAGCGGUGAAAUGCUUAGAGAUCAUACAGAACACCGAUUGUGAAGGCAGCUUACCAAUCUAUAUCUGACGUUGAGGCACGAAAGCGUGGGGAGCAAACAGGAUUAGAUACCCUGGUAGUC